UAAAUAUGCACAAACGUAGGCAGCUAAGAGCUUUCCCACAAGAAUUAUUUGCUCCAAAGCAAUAACCUCUGGUUUCAUUAAACCUUUUAUUCAACCUCUUGUUGUGUGUUAAUUUGUCCUUUAAGCAUGCUGACGAGAAUAAUCGGAAAAAAUAGGAUCGCUUUUGUACAAUCAUGGUCUAAAACAGGAGCAACUUUUGGUGCUGCUGGUGGCCUAGGCUUUUUAUAUUUUACUGAUUGGAAAGCUGUUCUUAAAUAUUUACCAGUUUAUAACACUAAGUUUCAGAAUAGUGAAAAAUAAUCGAGGAUAAUUUAGUGAAAAUUAAUGUUCAAGCCGAUAUAGAUAAACAAAUUAAAAUCUUUGUUGUAUGUCUGUAACAAUUUAAGUGAUGUCAAUAAAGAAAAUUUUGAUUUCUUGA
Parasteatoda tepidariorum (common house spider) is the source of this 418-nucleotide non-coding RNA. NCBI's taxonomy places the organism in Eukaryota, Metazoa, Arthropoda, Arachnida, Araneae, Theridiidae. The record is from RefSeq and is a predicted model, not a curated record.